GAACAGGAGGACCUUGCAUAGGAGCCGUGCGACGCGGGCUUGGGUGGCCUGGUCAAAGUGAACUGUAUUCGUACAGCAACGUAGCCGGAAUGGCGGGUUAGAAUUGAUUUCUGAGCAAGUCAGCCAAAGGGGACCCAGGAAUUCUUUUGGCACCACAUCGGACAGGGGACAUCCAGCCUGUGCUGUGACAUUUGUAGAGAUGGGAGGCUCAGUGCCUCGCAAGCUUGCCCACUCUGCUGUAAGAUAACCCGGAACCACUGGAAAUGUCUUCCUUCUUUGGGACCGCAACUGGGACUCUUGGUUUGGGGGAUGCCUCCAGCAGCACCUUCCGCCCUACCUUUCUCUUGCCAAGCUCCAGAACUCUCCUGCAUUCCAAAUCACUCAGUGCUUCAUGGAUUCGGUCCUUCUCUGUGCCCAUCAUUCAUCCAGACGGAACCCCCAGCCGUUUGAUGGUCUGCCCUCCAUUCAUUCCCAUCACUCAUUCAUGGAGUCCUGGAAUGUCAGAGCUAGAAGGGGGCCUCAGAAGCGAUCUGGUCCAGUGGUUUGAAAAUGAGAACACAUUUUUCAAAGAGAAGCAUCUGUGGACGCUCUAUAGAGAAAAUAGA
Molecule: long non-coding RNA, 605 nt
Organism: Herpailurus yagouaroundi (jaguarundi)
Lineage: Eukaryota; Metazoa; Chordata; Mammalia; Carnivora; Felidae
Exons: 3
Source: RefSeq, a predicted model, not a curated record